Gossypium arboreum is the source of this 446-nucleotide long non-coding RNA. RefSeq lists it as uncharacterized. NCBI's taxonomy places the organism in Eukaryota, Viridiplantae, Streptophyta, Magnoliopsida, Malvales, Malvaceae. The record is from RefSeq and is a predicted model, not a curated record. The transcript is spliced from 2 exons.
AGGUAAAUGUUUCAUGAUAAGAAUUUCAUGUCUUUUGUAUUAAAGAAUUAAAUGGAUGAAAUAUGAAGUUUUAUUAAAAGAAAAAGGGGUGAAAAGAACAAAGUUUUGUCCAUCUUUGUUCAUCAUAGCUGAAAGUUAGAGAAGAGAAAGGAGAGGAGAAAGCUCUUGAGUAUUCGGUCAUUAAGAGGAGGAAAAUUGAAGGUAAUCCCCAACCAUAGUGGGCUUGGAGCUGUGAGGGAAUUCGGAGUGGCCACCCGUUCUGAAAGUUUGAUUUUCUUCUGGUGAACUGGACAUCCUUUUAAUUAUGUUUGAGGUUUUGGGCUUUUAAAUGUAAUAAGGCCGCUUAUUUAUUUUUGAUGGUUUUUAAUAUGUAUUACUAAGAUAGGUAAUACUUAUUUUAACUGUUGAAAUUGGAUAGCUUUAGGGCGCGUUUUCAAAAACAACAA